GGGGGCGAUCUGGAUUCGACUUGAUGUAUGGCGUAAGAAGGAGCAUGCCGAGGUUGGUCAGUUGGCCUCGUAAAAAGCUGACUACAAAAUAAGUGCAAAAAACAUAAGCACAAAAGUAACAGAAGUAAUUCCUAUGAAUGUAGGUUUUGCUGCUGUA
RNAcentral lists this transfer-messenger RNA (157 nucleotides) under Candidatus Orphnella occulta. RNAcentral's name for it is "partial transfer-messenger RNA". It matches the Rfam family "transfer-messenger RNA", at positions 1 to 149 of the family's 374-position model. Rfam says of the family: Bacterial tmRNA, also known as 10Sa RNA or SsrA, is named for its dual tRNA and mRNA-like properties. Its role is to liberate the mRNA from a stalled ribosome. The record is from RNAcentral. Lineage: Bacteria; Pseudomonadati; Candidatus Omnitrophota.